This 450-nucleotide ribosomal RNA is filed under the name uncultured bacterium. Its description in RNAcentral is "bacterial SSU rRNA". It matches the Rfam family "Bacterial small subunit ribosomal RNA", at positions 28 to 465 of the family's 1533-position model. The record is from RNAcentral.
GAUGAACGCUAGCUACAGGCUUAACACAUGCAAGUCGAGGGGAAACGAUAUUGGAAGCUUGCUUCCGAUGGGCGUCGACCGGCGCACGGGUGAGUAACGCGUAUCCAACCUGCCCACCACUUGGGGAUAACCUUGCGAAAGUAAGACUAAUACCCAAUGACGUCUCUAGAAGACAUCUGAAAGAGAUUAAAGAUUUAUCGGUGAUGGAUGGGGAUGCGUCUGAUUAGCUUGUUGGCGGGGUAACGGCCCACCAAGGCGACGAUCAGUAGGGGUUCUGAGAGGAAGGUCCCCCACAUUGGAACUGAGACACGGUCCAAACUCCUACGGGAGGCAGCAGUGAGGAAUAUUGGUCAAUGGACGAGAGUCUGAACCAGCCAAGUAGCGUGCAGGAUGACGGCCCUAUGGGUUGUAAACUGCUUUUAUAAGGGAAUAAAGUUAGUCUCGUGAGAC